AUUGAACGCUGGCGGAAUGCUUUACACAUGCAAGUCGAACGGCAGCACGGGGGCAGCCCUGGUGGCGAGUGGCGAACGGGUGAGUAAUACAUCGGAACGUGCCCGGUCGUGGGGGAUAACGUAGCGAAAGUUACGCUAAUACCGCAUACGAUCUGAGGAUGAAAGCGGGGGACCUUCGGGCCUCGCGCGAUCGGAGCGGCCGAUGUCAGAUUAGGUAGUUGGUGGGGUAAAGGCCUACCAAGCCGACGAUCUGUAGCUGGUCUGAGAGGACGACCAGCCACACUGGGACUGAGACACGGCCCAGACUCCUACGGGAGGCAGCAGUGGGGAAUUUUGGACAAUGGGCGCAAGCCUGAUCCAGCCAUUCCGCGUGCAGGACGAAGGCCUUCGGGUCGUAAACUGCUUUUGUACGGAACGAAAAGGCUCUGGCUAAUACCUGGGGCUCAUGACGGUACCGCAAGAAUAAGCACCGGCUAACUACGUG
RNAcentral lists this ribosomal RNA (484 nucleotides) under uncultured bacterium. RNAcentral's name for it is "partial 16S ribosomal RNA". It matches the Rfam family "Bacterial small subunit ribosomal RNA", at positions 29 to 507 of the family's 1533-position model. The record is from RNAcentral.